GGUUAAGUGAAUAAGGGCGCACGGUGGAUGCCUUGGCACUAGGAGCCGAUGAAGGACGGGACUAACACCGAUAUGCUUUGGGGAGCUGUAAGUAAGCUAUGAUCCAGAGAUUUCCGAAUGGGGGAACCCAAUAUCUUUUAUAGGAUAUUACUUUUCAGUGAAUACAUAGCUGAUUAGAGGUAGACGCAGAGAACUGAAACAUCUUAGUACCUGCAGGAAGAGAAAGAAAAUUCGAUUCCCUGAGUAGCGGCGAGCGAAACGGGAAGAGCCCAAACCAACAAGCUUGCUUGUUGGGGUUGUAGGACUCCAAUAUGGUAGUCUGUUAGUAUAGUUGAAGGAUUUGGAAAAUUCCGCUAAAGAGGGUGAAAGCCCCGUAGACGAAAUGCUAACAACACCUAGGAGGAUCCUGAGUACGGCGGAACACGAGAAAUUCCGUCGGAAUCCGCGGGGACCAUCCCGCAAGGCUAAAUACUCCCUAGUGACCGAUAGUGAACCAGUACCGUGAGGGAAAGGUGAAAAGCACCCCGGAAGGGGAGUGAAAUAGAUCCUGAAACCGUGUGCCUACAACAAGUCAAAGCUCGUUAAUGAGUGAUGGCGUGCCUUUUGUAGAAUGAACCGGCGAGUUACGAUUGCAUGCGAGGUUAAGUCGAAGAGACGGAGCCGCAGCGAAAGCGAGUCUGAAUAGGGCGAAUGAGUAUGUAGUCGUAGACCCGAAACCAUGUGAUCUACCCAUGUCCAGGUUGAAGGUGCGGUAAAACGCACUGGAGGACCGAACCCACGUACGUUGAAAAGUGCGGGGAUGAGGUGUGGGUAGCGGAGAAAUUCCAAACGAACUUGGAGAUAGCUGGUUCUCUCCGAAAUAGCUUUAGGGCUAGCCUCGGAAUUGAGAAUGAUGGAGGUAGAGCACUGUUUGGACUAGGGGCCCAUCUCGGGUUACCGAAUUCAGAUAAACUCCGAAUGCCAUUCAUUUAUAUCCGGGAGUCAGACUGCGAGUGAUAAGAUCCGUAGUCGAAAGGGAAACAGCCCAGACCACCAGCUAAGGUCCCAAAAUAUAUGUUAAGUGGAAAAGGAUGUGGGGUUGCACAGACAACUAGGAUGUUGGCUUAGAAGCAGCCACCAUUUAAAGAGUGCGUAAUAGCUCACUAGUCGAGUGACCCUGCGCCGAAAAUGUACCGGGGCUAAACAUAUUACCGAAGCUGUGGACUACACCAUUAGGUGUAGUGGUAGGAGAGCGUUCUAAGGGCGUUGAAGGUCGAUCGUGAGGACGGCUGGAGCGCUUAGAAGUGAGAAUGCCGGUAUGAGUAGCGAAAGACAGGUGAGAAUCCUGUCCACCGUAUGACUAAGGUUUCCUGGGGAAGGCUCGUCCGCCCAGGGUUAGUCGGGACCUAAGCCGAGGCCGAUAGGCGUAGGCGAUGGACAACAGGUUGAUAUUCCUGUACCAGUUGUUUUUGUUUGAGCAAUGGAGGGACGCAGUAGGCUAAGGAAUGCAUGCGAUUGGAAGUGCAUGUCCAAGCAAUGAGUCUUGAGUAGAGUUAAAUGCUUUACUCUCUAAGGACAAGUUGUGACGGGGAGCGAAAUAAUAGUAGCGAAGUUCCUGAUGUCACACUGCCAAGAAAAGCUUCUAGUGAGAAAACAACUGCCCGUACCGUAAACCGACACAGGUAGUCGAGGAGAGUAUCCUAAGGUGAGCGAGCGAACUCUCGUUAAGGAACUCGGCAAAAUGACCCCGUAACUUCGGGAGAAGGGGUGCUGACUUCGGUCAGCCGCAGUGAAUAGGCCCAAGCGACUGUUUAUCAAAAACACAGGUCUCUGCAAAAUCGUAAGAUGAAGUAUAGGGGCUGACGCCUGCCCGGUGCUGGAAGGUUAAGAGGAUGGGUUAGCUUCGGCGAAGCUCAGAAUU
This 1900-nucleotide ribosomal RNA is filed under the name Staphylococcus sp. FR179. RNAcentral's name for it is "partial 23S ribosomal RNA". It matches the Rfam family "Bacterial large subunit ribosomal RNA", at positions 1 to 1913 of the family's 2925-position model. Lineage: Bacteria; Bacillati; Bacillota; Bacilli; Caryophanales; Staphylococcaceae. The record is from RNAcentral.